Molecule: ribosomal RNA, 450 nt
Filed under: uncultured bacterium
Lineage: Bacteria
Description: bacterial SSU rRNA
Rfam family: Bacterial small subunit ribosomal RNA
Source: RNAcentral
GUGGGGAAUUUUGGACAAUGGGCGCAAGCCUGAUCCAGCCAUGCCGCGUGAGUGAAGAAGGCCUUCGGGUUGUAAAGCUCUUUCGGCCGGGAAGAAAUCGCGCAGGAUAAUACCCUGUGUGGAUGACGGUACCGGAAUAAGAAGCACCGGCUAACUACGUGCCAGCAGCCGCGGUAAUACGUAGGGUGCGAGCGUUAAUCGGAAUUACUGGGCGUAAAGCGUGCGCAGGCGGUUUUUUAAGACAGGCGUGAAAUCCCCGGGCUCAACCUGGGAACUGCGCUUGUGACUGGAAGACUAGAGUAUGGCAGAGGGGGGUGGAAUUCCACGUGUAGCAGUGAAAUGCGUAGAGAUGUGGAGGAACACCGAUGGCGAAGGCAGCCCCCUGGGCCAAUACUGACGCUCAUGCACGAAAGCGUGGGGAGCAAACAGGAUUAGAUACCCCUGUAGUCC